Molecule: ribosomal RNA, 462 nt
Filed under: uncultured bacterium
Lineage: Bacteria
Description: bacterial SSU rRNA
Rfam family: Bacterial small subunit ribosomal RNA
Source: RNAcentral
UAGCCGGACUGAAGGUUGGACGGCCACAUUGGGACUGAGAUACGGCCCAGACUCCUACGGGAGGCAGCAGUCGGGAAUAUUGCGCAAUGGAGGAAACUCUGACGCAGUGACGCCGCGUAUAGGAAGAAGGUUUUCGGAUUGUAAACUAUUGCGUUAGGGAAGAAAAAAGACAGUACCUAAGGAGGAAGCUCCGGCUAACUACGUGCCAGCAGCCGCGGUAAUACGUAGGGAGCGAGCGUUAUCCGGAUUUAUUGGGUGUAAAGGGUGCGUAGACGGGCAAGCAAGUUAGUUGUGAAAUCCCUCGGCUUAACUGAGGAACUGCAACUAAAACUGCUAGUCUUGAGUGCAGGAGAGGUAAGUGGAAUUCCUAGUGUAGCGGUGAAAUGCGUAGAUAUUAGGAGGAACACCAGUGGCGAGGCGACUUACUGGACUGUAACUGACGUUGAGGCACGAAGUGUGGGG